RNAcentral lists this ribosomal RNA (793 nucleotides) under uncultured archaeon. Its description in RNAcentral is "bacterial SSU rRNA". It matches the Rfam family "Archaeal small subunit ribosomal RNA", at positions 85 to 879 of the family's 1478-position model. The record is from RNAcentral.
ACUGCUCAGUAACACGUAGUUAACCUAACCUAUGGAUGGGGAUAACCUCGGGAAACUGAGAAUAAUCCCCGAUAGAUCACAAUGCCUGGAAUGGUUUGUGAUUCAAAUGAUUUAUCGCCGUAGGAUGGGACUGCGGCCUAUCAGCUAGUUGGUGAGGUAAUGGCCCACCAAGGCUAUAACAGGUACGGGCUCUGAGAGGAGGGGCCCGGAGAUGGGUACUGAGACACGGACCCAGGCCCUAUGGGGCGCAGCAGGCGAGAAACCUUUGCAAUGUGCGAAAGCACGACAAGGUUAAUCCGAGUGUCUUCUGCUAAAGAAGUCUUUUGUUAGUCAUAGAACCACUGAUGAAUAAGGGGUGGGCAAGUUCUGGUGUCAGCCGCCGCGGUAAAACCAGCACCUCGAGUGGUCAGGAGGUUUAUUGGGCCUAAAGCAUCCGUAGCCGGUUGUUUAAGUUUUCGGUUAAAUCUAUGCGCUUAACGUAUAGGCUGCCGAAAAUACUGGACAGCUAGGGAGUGGGAGAGGUACACGGUACUCAAUAGGAAGGGGUAAAAUCCUUUGAUCUGUUGAUGACCACCUGUGGCGAAGGCGGUGUACCAGAACACGUUCGACGGUGAGGGAUGAAAGCUGGGGGAGCAAACCGGAUUAGAUACCCGGGUAGUCCCAGCUGUAAACGAUGCAAACUCGGUGAUGCAUUGGCUUGUGGCCAAUGCAGUGCCGCAGGGAAGCCGUUAAGUUUGCCGCCUGGGAAGUACGUACGCAAGUAUGAAACUUAAAGGAAUUGGCGGGGGAGCAC